GACGAACGCUGGCGGCGCGCCUAACACAUGCAAGUCGAGCGGGAAGCUUUUUUAAGGAUUCUUCGGAUGAAUUAAAAAGUGGAGAGCGGCGGACGGGUGAGUAACGCGUGAGAAACCUGCCCUAUACAGGGGGAUAGCCAUUGGAAAACGAUGAUUAAUACCCCAUAUGACCACAGUAUCGCAUGAUACAGCGGUGAAAACUCCGGUGGUAUAGGAUGGUCUCGCGUCUGAUUAGCUAGUUGGUGGGUAACGCCUACCAAGGCGACGAUCAGUAGCCGGCCUGAGAGGGUGACCGGCCACACUGGAACUGAGACACGGUCCAGACUCCUACGGGAGCAGCAGUGGGAAUAUGCACAAUGGCAAGCCUGAUGCAGCGACGCCGCGU
RNAcentral lists this ribosomal RNA (385 nucleotides) under uncultured bacterium. RNAcentral's name for it is "bacterial SSU rRNA". It matches the Rfam family "Bacterial small subunit ribosomal RNA", at positions 28 to 402 of the family's 1533-position model. The record is from RNAcentral.